GCUGGGGAAAAGAGUGCAGAGGAGGAGUGGAGACCUUUGGACAAGAGAGAGAGUGAGAGGGGGAAUGAAAUGGAGCGGGAGAGAGAGAGUGCAAUGGCAGAAAAGGGGAGCGGUGAGAGGAAGAGAGAGUUUGCUGAGUGUGAGUAGUAUUAGAUGUGUCCAGUCUCUCUUCUAAGGGGCUUCUUGGAAUCAAGUGUCAAUUCUACCUCCUGUAGUCUUUCAGCUGAGCCGUUUUUCUGCUAUCAGGAGUUAGCAGGCAGCUGCCCAGCCUACAGUCACACACACACACACACCAACAGUGCUGGAGAUGAGCACAGAAGUAUUUCAAGAAGCUGCCGGUUACACAGUCAGCUUGGGAUAGGAGUACAUUCUCUAUCAGGCAGGUAGUGGGGCAUGUCGGUGAAGCUGCGCUUCGAGUGUCCAGCGGAGGGGGACGUGGUCCAGAGGAGCCGCUCCUUCACAGGGUUCAGCUCCAUAAGUGGGCGCCGCCGGGUUUCCUCAGUGCGUAACUCUUUUAGGUCGAAGACAGUUUUGAGGAAAUCUCCCAGGAUGCAUCCUUCUCCAACUCGAAUGGGGGCAAGUAUCUGGGGACAGCAACCAGAGCAGGUGAACCAGAUCUUCCAAGCCUUACGGAAAGGCCUCAAGGAAUAUCUGGAUGGCCAUCAGGCUGAAAUGGACUUUCUAUCCUCCCAGCAGAGAGACACCAAGAGGAACUCCAGACUGGCGUUUCUGUAUGAUUUGGAAAAGGAGAUCCGAGCUUUGGAGAGAUAUAUACGAAGACUGGAGUUCCAAAUCAGCAAGGGGUCAGCAACACUAAACGCUAGACCACAAUUCUGUGGCCUCUACGUGGGACUAUGGGGAGCCACAAUUAAUUCCUGGGGGGGUUUCAACAGUAAAUUUGCAACAAUGUACUGGGAAGAAAAACACCAUGUGGAGGAGCUGUACGAGGCUUAUUGCAUCCAGUGGCGUCUGUGUCAAGGGGCAUUGAACAUGAAGAAGGCCUUCUCUCUACUGCCCUCAUCACGAGCCUCCAGGGAGAGCCUGCUGGAACUCAGCCGUAACCAUCGCCACAGCCUGGAGGAUAUGUGUAUCUUGGAGGGGGAGUUGGAGAUUCUCUUGGGAGAGCUUUGCAUCAAAAUGAAAGGACUGAUUGGCUUCGCUCGACUAUGCCCAGGAGACCAAUACGAGGUUGUAAUCCGUUUGGGGAGGCAAAGGUGGAAGAUCCGGGGCAAAAUUCAGACGGAUGACAAGCAGUCGUGGGAUGUGGAGGAGAUGGUCUUUCUACCUCACAUCCAUGAGAACUUUGACAUAAAGGUAACUGAGGUCAAGGGCCUGGGCUCCUUGCUGGUUGGCAUGGUAACGUGUAGGAGUGCUGACUUCUUCAUGUCUCGACCUCAGCUCAUGGUGGUGGACAUCACUGAACUAGGAACCAUCAAGCUUCAAUUAGAGGUGGUGUGGAAGAAAUACAGUUUGACUGCCCGAGUUGAAUAUCAAAGACGAAAUAGUCCAUUUGACAGUGGGGAUGUGAGGCCCAUCACCACAGCGUCCAGCAGGCAGUCCAUUCACAGCCGAAAGGGAUCCGUCUACAGCUGGACGCCUCCCAACACACCCAGCUUCACAGAAAAAUAUUUCAUAUCCAUGGUCCGGCAGCUUCAUCAUGACCCAGAGUGCUCCCUGGUGUCACGGGCAUCUCGGGGAGUGUCUCUACUUAGCUACCUUGCAGAUACCUCCCAGGCCCCCACCCCCUCUUACAGCCAGGGUGGCAGCCAAACCCAAAUCAGCCUAGCUGAGGAUCUAGCCACAGAGAGCAGCCCUCCGGAGCAGCAGACAUUGAAGGGAUUAUCAGGGACUUCCGAGACAGGGGACAUGUGGCCCCUGACUGAUCCGGACACAGGCCCCUCCUCUUCCUCCACACUCGGGGAGACGAACCGCAGCUCCCUGCUUACCUUGCGGCAACGUUACAGCACUCCCGAUAUCCUCAGACAGAAUGGAGGCCCCAGCCCAAGUUCCAAUCCAAUUCCUGGUAAAACAGUAAAGGGUAAAGAGACAACGCCGGAGACAGUUCUGAUAGUGGGGGGAGGCCCAGGUGGGGAGAUGCAGAUGAGGCUAGGGUACAAGGAGAGUGAGGAGGCUCCAGCCAAGCCGGUGGAGACCAGCAGUCAGCGCAAAGCACAGGCUCUGAGGAUCAGUGCUCUGCUAAGGGGGCUGGAGACUAGUCUACAGGGCCAAGAGUCCACACAGAGGGAGCUAAGGGCACUGGGAAAUCAGAUCCUGCACCUCAGCACCAUUUUAAAAAAUGACCUUUCCUUGCUGAAGAGUUCCUCUGCCGAGACGUUGGCUGUGGAAGAGGAGGAGGUCCUGGAGAGUUUUGACUUUUUGUCCACAGACUUUAACGCCGAUGAGGAUGUUUCUUGUGUGGGCAGCAUGCGCCUCAAAAACAAAAGUUCAUUCCAUCAGAGUAUGCCAAGAAGCCUUGGGCUUUUUUCUCAGUACAGCCAAUCCCAAGAGAAGCUGGAUGUUGCCCCACUGACCACUGGGAACUAUAGUCUGGACCAGGCUCUAGAAACACACCUGAGCAUCUGCACUCUUCUGCUGAAGGCAAUUAGGAAUUCAGAGUCUGCAAUAGUUCAGCGGGACAUUUUGGAUGAGAUGUUGCUCCAAGCAGAGGUACUUGAUAGAGUGAGCAGGUUGAUGCUGGAGAAGACACAAAUGUCUUCUGACUAUGAGAUGCUCCCGAAGGUCCAGGGACAGAAGGAGUUGCUGAUGUUUUGGGAGGAGUGUGCAGGCAGCAAAUCGCUCCUCUGCUGUCCCACCGACACUUUUGUUAAGACCCUGAGGAAGCGUUACAUCCACAAAGUCAAAGCCAAGCAGCCCGGUCAACCAGAUGCAGUGUUUGCACAGCUGUUGCAGCAGAUCCAGGCUAGCUGUCGGAUGGUGCCUAUGGCCCGUUGCACUCUGGACUGGAUUACCAUCUUCCAGCUGUCCACCUACCUGAGCCGCUGGAGCUUUACAGACCUGGGAGAGCACAUCUCCCGCCUCUCCAAAGAAGUUCACCUGGUGUCUGCUCUGGAGAGUCCUAAAAGGAGAAGGACACUGAAGAAGUUGAAAGGGAGGUGCAUCGCCGAGCUGCUGCCUCUGUGCUGUACCCUCCAAUGUCUAGCCGACCUCCAGAUAGAUGUCAACCACAAAGUCUCCCAGGCUGCCAGAAACUGUCUCUGCAGAGCCACAAGCAACAAAGCCUUCAGGACUAAGGCUAUAGUGUACUACACUGAAGUCCUGAGGGAUAGCGAUGUCAGGCUCCAACAGGCUGCCUGUCUGGCCCUAAUGUGUCUCAAAGUUUUUCAUCUGCAAGUCACUUUCUCACAAGAAGGCAAUGAUGCAUCAACUAUGCUAUUUGCAUUAGAUUCAAUAAGCUCCACAAGCCCAAGAUAAGUGCUGACAAACCUAUUGUGUUUCUUUGACCAGUACUUCACAGAUAUGCAGAGCAGUUUGUUCACCAUUAUGUUGGUGGUUUCAUCGAGAUAAAGAAAUGUGGCAGCAGCACAGACUUAAUAAUUGCCAUGCACUUUGUUCUAUGCAUUUUAAAUGUGCCAAACUCAUCAUCUAAUAUAUCUGACAAGUCUUCCACAGCAUUGAUGGAAGUGUGGUAGGUUGCAAUUCUGAGUUCAUGACAUUUUUGGUCAUCUUUAAUAGCACUUACUGUAGAUCUAGAUUUGUGUUUCAUGGUUUUUGCAUGAUCUUGUAGAUAAUUGAGAUGGGCUCUGAUCUGUGCAUUGCAAUAUUUGCAGCGGGCUUUUGACUCAUCACCAGGGACAGACACAAUCCAAGAAAAAGGUUUGCAGAGAAGAAUCAUCCAGCCUACCAGAUGAUAGCAAGAGUGUGGAUUUACGAACACUUCUCACAGUUCCUAUCUGUCACUCCCAUACUCCACCAGCAUGGCUUGAAUGAGGUGCAUUCAUGAUGAGGUCGCAAUGCUUCUCAGCGAGAAAGGCAACUGAGAGCGUGGAGCAGGUGGCCGAGUUGUGGCGGUCGACCGAUGAGGAUCUGCGCAGCGCUGC
Molecule: RNA transcript, 4058 nt
Organism: Esox lucius (northern pike)
Lineage: Eukaryota; Metazoa; Chordata; Actinopteri; Esociformes; Esocidae
Gene: ripor3
Gene name: RIPOR family member 3
Exons: 25
Source: RefSeq, a predicted model, not a curated record